AACGAACGCUGGCGGCAGGCUUAACACAUGCAAGUCGAACGCCCCGCAAGGGGAGUGGCAGACGGGUGAGUAACGCGUGGGAAUCUACCCAUCCCUACGGAACAACUCAGGGAAACUGGAGCUAAUACCGUAUACGACCUACGGGGGACAGAUUUAUCGGGGAUGGAUGAGCCCGCGUUGGAUUAGCUAGUUGGUGGGGUAAAGGCCUACCAAGGCGCCGAUCCAUAGCUGGUCUGAGAGGAUGAUCAGCCACAUUGCGACUGAGACAGGGCACAAGCUCCUACGGGAGGCGGCAGUGGGGAAUAUUGGACAAUGGGCGCAAGCCUGAUCCAGCCAUGCCGCGUGAGUGAUGAAGGUCUUAGGAUUGUAAAGCUCUUUCACCGAUGAAGAUAAUGUCGGUAGUCGGAGAAUAAGCCCCGGCUAACUUCGUGCCAGCCGCCGCCGUAA
Molecule: ribosomal RNA, 447 nt
Filed under: uncultured bacterium
Lineage: Bacteria
Description: partial 16S ribosomal RNA
Rfam family: Bacterial small subunit ribosomal RNA
Source: RNAcentral